RNAcentral lists this ribosomal RNA (371 nucleotides) under uncultured Caulobacter sp. RNAcentral's name for it is "bacterial SSU rRNA". It matches the Rfam family "Bacterial small subunit ribosomal RNA", at positions 527 to 898 of the family's 1533-position model. The record is from RNAcentral. Lineage: Bacteria; Pseudomonadati; Pseudomonadota; Alphaproteobacteria; Caulobacterales; Caulobacteraceae.
GAAGGGGGCUAGCGUUGCUCGGAAUUACUGGGCGUAAAGGGAGCGUAGGCGGAUAGUUUAGUCAGAGGUGAAAGCCCAGGGCUCAACCUUGGAAUUGCCUUUGAUACUGGCUAUCUUGAGUACGGAAGAGGUAUGUGGAACUCCGAGUGUAGAGGUGAAAUUCGUAGAUAUUCGGAAGAACACCAGUGGCGAAGGCGACAUACUGGUCCGUUACUGACGCUGAGGCUCGAAAGCGUGGGGAGCAAACAGGAUUAGAUACCCUGGUAGUCCACGCUGUAAACGAUGAGUGCUAGUUGUCGGCAGGCAUGCCUGUCGGUGACGCAGCUAACGCAUUAAGCACUCCGCCUGGGGAGUACGGUCGCAAGAUUAAA